RNAcentral lists this ribosomal RNA (277 nucleotides) under uncultured prokaryote. Its description in RNAcentral is "partial 16S ribosomal RNA". It matches the Rfam family "Bacterial small subunit ribosomal RNA", at positions 524 to 800 of the family's 1533-position model. The record is from RNAcentral.
UACGUAUGGGGCGAGCGUUGUUCGGAAUUAUUGGGUGUAAAGGGCGUCUAGGCGGGAGAUUAAGUUAGAUGUGAAAGGCGUGGGCUUAACCCACGAAUUGCAUCUAAAACUGGUUUUCUUGAGUUCGGGAGAGGAGAGCGGAAUUCUUGGUGUAGCGGUGAAAUGCGUAGAUAUCAAGAAGAACACCAGUGGCGAAGGCGGCUCUCUGGCCUAGAACUGACGCUGAAGCGCGAAAGCGUGGGUAGCGAACGGGAUUAGAUACCCCUGUAGUCCCUGA